RNAcentral lists this transfer-messenger RNA (386 nucleotides) under Candidatus Liberibacter ctenarytainae. It matches the Rfam family "Alphaproteobacteria transfer-messenger RNA". From Rfam's summary of the family: Bacterial tmRNA, also known as 10Sa RNA or SsrA, is named for its dual tRNA and mRNA-like properties. The record is from RNAcentral. Lineage: Bacteria; Pseudomonadati; Pseudomonadota; Alphaproteobacteria; Hyphomicrobiales; Rhizobiaceae.
UAUAUUCCAAUAUAAGCAAAAUAUGUUACACUAACCAUGUUAUUUGAGAAAAUAGCUAUGGCAAUAAAGAGUCAAAGUAAUAAGCUUGUUGGACCCGGGGGCGGUACCCGGCGCCUCCACCAAAAACACAUAUUAUUGAUGAGGUGAAGAUUGAAAAAAGAGAUUUUUUCAAAAUAAGGGGGCGAAAUAGGAUAGACAAGAGUGUAAAGGUUGAAAGUUUGCUCGGUAUGGUACCACCGUUAUCGGACUAAAAACAUAGUUGCAAAUGACAACUCUGCUAGAGAGGUUCGCCUGGCUGCUUAAGCCAUGUGACUUCUCAAAUUAAGCCCUGACGGAUAGCACUGUCAGGCGGGGUUUGGGGGCACCUGCCAACAGAAGCCCCCGUA